This 391-nucleotide ribosomal RNA is filed under the name uncultured bacterium. RNAcentral describes it as "bacterial SSU rRNA". It matches the Rfam family "Bacterial small subunit ribosomal RNA", at positions 29 to 412 of the family's 1533-position model. The record is from RNAcentral.
AAUGAACGCUGGCGGCGCGCCUAAUACAUGCAAGUCGAGCGAGAAGACGUAGCAAUACGUUUGUAAAGCGGCGAACGGGUGAGGAAUACAUGGGUAACCUACCCUCGAGUGGGGAAUAACUAGCCGAAAGGUUAGCUAAUACCGCGUACGCUUCUUGGACUUCGGUUCAGGGAGGAAAGCGAUGCCGAGGGUAUCGCGCUCUUGGAUGGGCUCAUGUCCUAUCAGCUUGNGGUGAGGUAACGGCUCACCAAGGCUUCGACGGGUAGCUGGUCUGAGAGGACGAUCAGCCACACUGGCACUGCGACACGGGCCAGACUCCUACGGGAGGCAGCAGUAGGAAUAUUGCGCAAUGGGCGAAAGCCUGACGCAGCGACGCCGCGUGGGGGAUGAA